RNAcentral lists this unclassified non-coding RNA (347 nucleotides) under uncultured Diversisporaceae. RNAcentral describes it as "sequence contains ITS1". The stretch from base 1 to 105 matches the Rfam family "5.8S ribosomal RNA", at positions 50 to 154 of the family's 154-position model. Lineage: Eukaryota; Fungi; Glomeromycota; Glomeromycetes; Diversisporales. The record is from RNAcentral.
GAAAUGCGAUACGUAGUGUGAAUUGCAGAAUUCCGUGAAUCAUCGAAUCUUUGAACGCAAAUUGUACUUCCCAGUAAUCUGGGAAGUAUGCUUGGUUGAGGGUCAUCAAAAUAACCUUCGCGAAUUUUUUUGCGGAUUUGAGUUUUCCAGUAUUUAUUCAUUAUAAAAUAAAUGUUGGUGACUUUAAAAUUAUUUUUAUUUGGCAUAAGUUGAAACGUACUAUGUGUUUGGUUCGUUGAUAACUUAUCCAUUUUUAUAUAUUAUGUGCGCACUUAGUUUUUAUACUCUAUGCGAGCAUAUAUUUUUUUUUUGACCUCAGCUCAAGCAAGGAUACCCGCUGAACUUAA